GCUAAUUUACCAUAUUAACUUAUUUUUUAAAAAAAACAACAUAAAUUCAGUAUAACCUGAAACUACCAACUGAGCCAAGUCAUAAGAAAAGUGUUCACUUCACAUGGCAAGAAAGCCGAACUGCUGAAGUUGCCCCCGACUGGCUUUUAGAAAUAAUGUAGAUUUAAGGUACUUCUGUAUGGACCCAGAAGCUACAUCCAGCUUUUUUAAAUGCAGUUUAAGAGUCCAGCCCAGCUAGAAAGAAAUAAAAAGACAUUAAUUUAAGGUGACUAAUAAAAAGUUAAUUUAAGAUGCAUCAGCAAAGCUUCUUCUUCUGCUUUUACAUGGAAAAUAGUUCCUAUUAUAUUUUAUUCAAGUCCUCUUUGAUAGAAGUUGUGGCAUUGUAGUGUAGUGCCUCCUGGAUGACCACACGGGGCCUCGCCUUCUCCCUUUGAUGAUGAAAUUUACAUCACUUAAACCUUUUAGCUGCUUGUCUUUAGCAUCGUGUUUUGGGCCGCGUACAAUUCACCACUUUAUGCCAGCAACAACGAGACUUUUUACAGACAAUCAGAUUGAGCCACGAAGACAUUCAAGAGGGAAUUAGCAUUGUCAGCGCCAUCGACACAAUGUUAAAAUUCUUGUUUGCUGUUUUGUAAAAUGGGCUGUGUGGUGUUUAGAUUUACCUUGUUACUCAGUAAAACAGUGAACCUGCCACAAGUGAAUGGAAAGAGUUUAAAAAUAUAGUAUAAGAAUAAGAUGUGUUUAUAUUUGUGUUUAUUUAUUAGUUUUUUUAAAUCAUGUCUAAAUUUUAUUUUGUGUAAAGGGACAACACUGGUAAAUGUACAGGUUGUUCAUUUUAGCAGGAAGACAUGUGUUCCCUCUUCCAUACUGUUUUUUUUUUUUAAAGAAUGACGAUGAUGCAAGUCCAGAUAUUUGACUGACCACUGGUGGGUCCAUUGAGACGCUGUUAUUUUGAACCUUUACUGUUAGAAAAUACUAGUAAGACAAUGGAGAGAGCCUGAAGUGGUUAUAACCUCAACUUAUGAUCAAGAAUCGGUAGAUUAAAGGUCGUCACUGGCACGAGACUCUGUUGCUUAUCUGUUGAUGUAAUUGUGGAGAGUUGAGACUUUAACAUUGAAAUAAGAUAAAACAAUUAAAAUAUCAAUUUUCUUACUGUCAUUAAUCCCUGUUUGUAGUUGUUACAGAAAUGUGCACAUUUUUCACAAUAUAUCCCAGGAGGCACUUUUCAUUUCAUGGGAAAAAUCCACCAUCGAUGUAAAAGUUUUGGCACUCUUGGCUUUCCAUACAUAUUUGGAUCCACAUACUCAGGUUUUUGUGAACAGGUACAGUUGGACAAACUUCUUUUAUCAUUACUUCCUUGAGUGUUUUGUGGUAUGUUAAUCUUUUUCUCUUUUUUUGCUGUUGCUUCUGUGUAUGUGUGUUUACAAAUCCAUCAAAUACUUUUUCAUUUGUAGUUAAUUAGAGAUGAUUUAAGACACCACAUGCUACAUGAGAGAAAUUCCAUCAUAAGCAUUUUUUGUUUUUAGGCACAUCAAAUAUGAAUUAUAAUUUUUUUUACAUGCUUUUUAUCUCCAAGGGAGAGUUGUGUCUUUGUGGAUUUUUAAUUUUUAACAUUUUUUGAGUUUUGCAAAAAUGAGGGAAACUGGGACUAAUUUUGUAAUCUGCAGCUCAAUUUUUGCUGGAUUUCACUUAUUUUUCCUUUUAGUGUCCUAAAAUUUUAUUCCAGAAAGAUUAAAUAUGAUGUUUUAGGGAAUUAAAGACAUAGAGAUUGUCGUUGUGAAGGUUAUGCUAUUUUCUGACUUGAGCUGAGUUUUACAAGAUGUUCUCAUGUUUUAUUUUUGUCUUUUUUCUUCUUUCUUUUGUCAUCUUUUAUUUUUGUAGUGUAAAAUAAUAGUAAAAUAUCAGGUAACAGCUUUUACAGAAUGUAUUUUUUCGCAUUGUGAAUGAAACUGAUGCCGGCUCCAUUCACGUCCAUGUCUUCAGAGACCAAUGGAGGAAGAUUCGUGCAGGAAUAACAUAAACUAGAACCACUUUUAGAUAUCAUAAACAAUAUGCUGUAGAUUUAAUAAUAAGUUUAAGUCAUCCAGUACUUGAAAGAAACUAUAUCUACUCUGUAU
Long non-coding RNA from Astatotilapia calliptera (eastern happy), 2117 nucleotides. Lineage: Eukaryota; Metazoa; Chordata; Actinopteri; Cichliformes; Cichlidae. The record is from Ensembl.